This 5684-nucleotide long non-coding RNA is filed under the name Homo sapiens (human). RNAcentral's name for it is "HSALNT0230495". The record is from RNAcentral. Lineage: Eukaryota; Metazoa; Chordata; Mammalia; Primates; Hominidae.
AAGCUGGCCACCUGGGGGAGCAGCGGCAAGCAGCUUAGGUGCCUUUCCACGAUGUGGAAGCUUUGUUCUUAGCAAUAAAUCUUGCUGCUGCUUAUUCUUUGGGUCUGCACUACCUUUAUGACUGUAACACUCACCGCGAAGGUCUGCAGCUUCACUCCUGCAGUCAGCGAGACCAGCAACCCACCGGGAGGAGCAAAGCGUGCCAGAAGUGUGCCACGUUUAAGAGCUGUAACACUCACUGCGAAAGUCUGCGGCUUCAUUCCUGAAGUCAGCAAGACCAUGAACCCACCAGGAGGAAGGAACAACUCUGCACGUGCCAUCUUUGAGAGCUGUAACAUUCACUGAGAAGGUCUGCAGCUUCACUCCUGAAGUCAGCAAGACCAAGGACCCAUCAGAAGAAAAAAACUUGGGACACAUCUGAACAUCUGAAGGAACAAACUCCCGACACACCAUCUUUAAGAACUGUAACACUCACCACGAGGGUCCGCGGCUUCAUUCUUGAAGUCAGCGAGACCAAGAACCCACGGAAGGAACCAAUUCCGGACACAAGAGAUUCUAAAGCACCAUCCUCAGAGAUGUGACUGGGAUGAUCAGAAAUACGGCCCUGAGUGUCACACUUUUUAACAAGUUUGCCAGAAGAUUCUUUGAGAAUCACCUCUUUACUAGGUGAAUGUCUUCUUCAUUUUCCCUCAAGCUCCAUGAGGUCAAGGACCAUAUCUACUUUGCUCAUCAUUGAAUUCCCAGUGCCUUCAAAGCACAGUAUUUAGCAAAUGGAAGGUACUCAACAAAUAUCUGUCAAAGGAAGGAAAGAGGAGGAAGUUACAGUCAUAUUCAAAACUAAAAACAUACACACAUAGAAGGUGAAGAAGCAAAGCAGGGAAUUAAAUAACUGCUUGAACGGUUGAAUUCACCAAGUAACAGAGCAACAGUUCCAGGAUAUGAGAAAUAAAUCUGUGUGUUCCAACGCCAUUGAAGAAGGCACUUGGAAAUAAGUGACUUUUAAAAACUAUAGAAUUUAGGGGGGAGAAGUAGAGGAGAGAUGGAAUUUCUGGUAGAGAAAACUUUGUGAAUAAAGGCAUAGAAGUAAAUGAGUGGUGAAUGAGGUGCGAAGAGCUUUUCAUCUUACUCCAAAGUAUGCAAAUAAAGAGAGCCAUCCUGCAGCUCUAGCCCCAUCCCUUAAAUCCAGACCACUCUCCUUCUCCACUACCCUGUGCCAUGCAGCCCCCGGGCAGCUGCCGUGAUGGAGCAUCCCACCCAGGCUGAGAGCCCCACGACUCCAGCGUUCUCACCGGUGCUUGGCGAGGCCCUGGUGCUUAAUGGAGGUCCCAGGCCUGGGGCAUGCCGCAAAUGGGCUUCAAAGAGAGCAUCACGGGUCUUCUCAGCACCGCGCUCACCGGAGACAGCAAAUUACAAGCUGAAAAUUCACUACGUUUGUGAAAACCCUGAAUUUAUUUAGACAAAAGCAGAUGGAUAAUCUUGUUACAUUUCAGCACACCACACUUUAUUCAGAGGAAAUGAAACAACGCAUUACGCGUUCCUUUCUUUCCAUCUGCUCUCCCUUCCCUAAGUUCAGGUUUAUUAUUAAUAAAAUGAACUUAUCCUGCCUCCCUUUCCAUUCCAUUAGCCUUUACUCCUAAUUAAGUUUUGCUCACGUUGUCCUUUUCAGUGUCUCAGCAACUCUUUUUUCAACAUAGCUAUUUUCCCCCAGACCUCAAAUCAUUUCUACAGAUGAACUGCUGCCACCAGGAAUAUAAAAUGUCUUUAUCAAAUUAUAAUUUUUCUCAAAUGUUAAGAAAUUAUCUAGGCCCUUCUGUUCCUCCAAAGCAGGUCUGACUUGAAGGACAGAUUCUGCAGAGGAUUAGAAUCAACUCUUGACUUGAAUUUUUGGGAGGAGGAGGCAGGAGUCAUCUUCCUCUGAUUCCAAGCAGCUUGACCUUGGUUAGUUCACUAUUAGCCGGAUUAUUCACUUUCCCACUGCCCUCCAUCCACCACUGGUUUGUUUAUUUCCUUUCCCAAAACAAAUGUAAUGAAUGGGUACAGAAAGUGUCUCGAGAAAAACCCACUCUAAAAUUAGCUGGGCAUGGUGGUGAGCGCCUUUAAUCCCAGCUACUCAGGAAGCUGAAGCAGGAAAAUCACUUGAACCUGGGAGGUGGUGGUUGCAGUGAGCCGAAAUCGCACCACUGCACUCCAGCCUGGGCAACAGAGCUAGACUCUGCCAAAAAAGAAAAAAAAAAAAAGAAAAAAGAAAAACCCACUCAAAAAAAAAAAAUGCCAAGGGUGGUGGUGGCUCACACCUGUAAUCCCAGGUGCGAGGCUGAGGCAGGAAGAUCGCUUGAGCCUAGGAGUUCAAGGCCAGCCUGGGCAAUAUAGUGAGACCCCCAUCUCUAGAAAUAAAUAAAUAAAUAAAAGAAACAAAUGAAAAGCCCAAGCCUCAGAGACAGUAAAGACAGAAAAUAUGAUUGUCAAAAAAGUGCUGAGAUGGAUUCAGUGAGUCAAAGACAAGUCACCAGCCCUCCCUAAACUCCAGUCCACGUUCAAACAGGUUGGAAUUUGUAGCAUUUCUGUUCAUAACCACGGCAGCUGGGAAAGCAGAUUGUGCAUGUGGCAUUGUUGUCAACUUCUCUGGCCUGAGGAGUCUGAGUGUAGCUACUGCAAUCUCUACCCCAGGCAUUUUCCAGACCCCUUGGCACUCUGGUCAUUUUCCAGACCCCAGGCAGGCAUGACUCAAUGCCACUGUCCCUCAGGCCAACAUUCCUUUAGGUCAUGUAUGUGCCUGCCUGGGAGAGGGAAUUCUUCCUGGGGUUCGAAAGAGUGUGCUCUGGAAUCUUGACUCUUGCAGUCAAAUCCCAGCUCUGCCUCCACCUACCAGGGCAGACUUGAUCCAGUGAAUUUGUGCCUCUGUUUCCUCACCUGUAAAACAGGGCUAAAGAUCCAAACCUACUUCAUGGAAUUACUGCAAAGAUUGAUGUGAGAAAGUCUGACAAGCACUCAGCACAGGGCCUGGCACAUGAGUGUGCAGAAAAUAUUGACUGUCGUUACUAAUGGCAACUGUUGAGACUCUGAUACGAUUCAGGGAAAACUUCAGGUGUCCUGAUUUGACCCCAGCUCAUGACGGCAUACUUACUUCUGCACCCUAAGAUCUAGGAAAGCCACAUACAACUCAAGCCACAGUAGCUUACACCAGAUAUUAAGGAGAUCGAAAUGUCUCUCGGGUCAGUUCCAUAGUCCACUCAACUGAGGAACCGUCAUGCUGAUGGAGGUUUUCAGGUAAAUUUGAGUAUUAUCAUGAUUCUUCUCCUGGACACCAAACAAACCACAAAGGAAGUUACUCUUGACUACCUUACUUCAACCCUCCUGGAGUUUAUUCAUGUUUUCAGUUAGAAUUUCUUUCCUGUGGCAUUGCAUUGCUAAUAACGCCAGGUGAGACUGGUGUUAAGCAUGGGUCAAGGAAGUCUGCUAUUGGUGUUUCGAAAAUCAGCAAGUAAAAUCCAUCCACUGCCCUCCACAAUGCUAGGACCCAGAUCACAGGGAAGCUGACCUGGCCUCUGGCCUUUCACUCUAAUUGACUGUGGGCUUCCCCAUGGCUGACCUCUGAAAUCACCAAGCUAUGGCAACUCGGACACUGAAGCCCUGAUUAACGAGCUUUUCUGGAGCGCUUUACCUGUUACCUGUUUUGUACCUUGAGCAAGACACCUCUCUGACCAGGUGCUGUCCUUCCUCAAAGCAGGGGUGGAGCAAGCUGCUCAGGUCAGCCCCUGAGGCUGAUACUGCACUCUCAAUGAAUGGCAGAGUCACUCCUGCCUUUUUCACAGCCUUUGAAAGGUUCUGGAAUGAACCCACAUAAACUACUGCUUGCAGAACGGAUGGGCGAGUUCUUUACGACUCUGCUCCUGGGCUCUUAGUAAGCACACAUUUUCCCAAACUUAAAUCUUCUAAAUUGGAGUUGCCACCUUUAAAGGGUAAGCUGACCCAAUGUCCUUGCUGGUCAAAGAAAUUUUUUGCAAAUGCAGAAAAAUACUUAACACUUUCCUUUUCAGACACAGGAUGAAAGAGGGCACAAAUAGGUCAGAAUAUUGGCUUAAAUCAAAUUGUGGGAGCCGUUUGAAUUUACUUUUAUAGAUAGAAAAACUGGAAAACGUCAGUCCCUCCUACUUCCUCCUUCUGCCUAUGUCUCUCACUCAGCCAUUACAUGGAUGUGCUCUGGGGCCUCAGAAUCUUCCAGGCAGACUGCCCUCCCCACUAAGCAGGCAUGAUCUGGACACACUGAAGCAGAAAGGCAUGCCCCUUCAUAAAAGUCUGCCCCCAGUGCAGUGAUUAAGGCAGGACAAAAUGUCACCGCAGUGUUCCACCAGCACCUAUGCCUCUCUGUCCCUAGGCUGUGCACCCACCCAGGCCAGCCGCAUCACUUAGGUAACAGCAAAUGUGAGCAUCGCUGGUUGCUGUGGGAGGUAGAAAGACAGUGAAAGAAUACCUCUGACCUGGAAGACUGUGCUGUCUUGGAGGGAUCCAGGGUAUAGUCCUAGAGAAACAACUUUAGGGCACUAAAGGCAAAUAACAUAAAAUCUAGGGCUCUGGAGCCAGAGUCCCUGAGUUCAAAUCCUGUCUGCAUAAUUGUAUGAGCUUAGAGAAACUGCAUUCCUUCCCUGUCCCUAAAACCUCAUAGGGUAGUUAUAAGGAAAAUUCUGAAUAUGAAAAGUAUUCAGUACAGUCUUGAUUUUUAAAACUCUUAUUGAAAAACUCAACCAUCUCACAUUACUGCCUGCCAACAGCUUUCGCUCCCAGAAGGAAGAAGACCCAACCUCCCUUCAUAGGACUGCACAACCUCCCCCUGCCACCUCUGUGGUCUUAGUUCCCCAACUCUCACCCUUGCUCACUCAGCCUCAGUCACGCUGGACUUCUUCUGCUCAAACACACAGGCCUUCCUCCCACGGCAGCACCACCACUCUGUCGGCAUCUCCAUCCUGAGUGCUCUCAUCGCCUCCCCAAGCCCCUCACCACUACCGCUCUUCUCUCGGCUUAUUCCCUAACUCUAUUCAAUGCCGUCUUUUCCGUGACCACUUUUUCUAGAAUAAGAAUGUACCUUGCUUGCUGGUUUGGACGUGGAGAAAGGGAAACCCUUGUCCACUGUUGGUGGGAAUGUAAAUCAAUAUAGCCACUACAGGAAACAGUGUGGAGAUUUCUAAAAAAAAAAAAAGCUAAAAACAGAACUACCAUACAAUCCUACAGUCCUACCACUGUGUAUCUAUCCAAAGGAAAAAGAAUUCAGCGUAUUAAAGGGAUACCUGCACUCACUUAUUUAUUUACUUUUUACUUUUUAUUGAUUUAAUUAUACUUUAAGUUCUAGGGUACAUGUGCACAACGUGCAGGUUUGAUACAUAGGUAUACAUGUGCCAUGUUGGUUUGCUGCACCCAUCAACUCAUAAUUUACAUUAGGUAUUUCUUCUAAUGCCAUCCCUCCCCCAACACCCACCCCCUAGCAGGCACCAGUGUGUGAUGUUCCCCGUCCUGUGUCUAAGUGAUCUCAUUGUUCAGUUCCCACCUAUGAGUAAGAACAUGCAGUGUUCGGUUUUCUGUCCUUGCGAUAGUUUGCUCAGAAUGAUGGUUUCCAGCUUCAUCCAUGUCCCUACAAAGAACAUGAACUCAUCUGUUUUUAUGGCUGCAUAGUAUUCCAUGGUGUAUAUGUG